Molecule: long non-coding RNA, 474 nt
Organism: Nerophis ophidion (straightnose pipefish)
Lineage: Eukaryota; Metazoa; Chordata; Actinopteri; Syngnathiformes; Syngnathidae
Exons: 3
Source: RefSeq, a predicted model, not a curated record
AGUCACUGCAGUUUGCAGGAGGAGGAGGAAUUCAUUACAGUAGUAUGUACUAACCGGGGUUAGAAGCCUUUCUAAAAAGUCCCCUCUGGAGACCAAAUCUCCACAUGCCGCUGUCUGAGAGUUAUGAUCUGAGAAAGGAAUGGCAAAAUGAUCCAGAAGCGAGAGAGACAGCUGACUGGCACUCACUUGUGUGAUCAUCACGUCUAAUGAGCUUCUUGCUUCGCAAUUUAAUUGACGACCAGAUGAUAGUGAGGCCAUCCACUCCUCCGCUGGCUGCGUGACGUCACCCUCAUCCAGCAGAGGGGCGUGGCGUCAGUCAAGGGUUUGAUUUGGACACCCCACGCCCCCUCUUCCUCCUCCACCAUAUCUAAAAUGUGAAUGGACAAGAGGAAGCAGCAAGGUGGGUGGUAGUGCACAUUGAGCUCGAUGAACAUUAAAUAUGUUGUCUUAGUAGCAUAUUCAAAUGAACAUGGG